AGGACUAACGCUGGCGGCGUGCCUAACACAUGCAAGUCGAGCGGACACCACUUUGUAGCAAUACAGAUGAAGUGUUAGCGGCGAACGGGUGAGUAACACGUGAGUAAUCUGCCCCUAGCUCUGGGAUAGCUCCGGGAAACCGGGAUUAAUACCAGAUACGACCACUUUAGACAUCUCUUGUGGUGGAAAGAAUUUCGGCUGGGGAUGAACUCGCGGCCUAUCAGCUUGUUGGUGAGGUAACGGCUCACCAAGGCGACGACGGGUA
Molecule: ribosomal RNA, 265 nt
Filed under: uncultured bacterium
Lineage: Bacteria
Description: partial small subunit ribosomal RNA
Rfam family: Bacterial small subunit ribosomal RNA
Source: RNAcentral